This 468-nucleotide ribosomal RNA is filed under the name uncultured bacterium. RNAcentral describes it as "partial 16S ribosomal RNA". It matches the Rfam family "Bacterial small subunit ribosomal RNA", at positions 28 to 507 of the family's 1533-position model. The record is from RNAcentral.
GACGAACGCUGGCGGCGUGCUUAACACAUGCAAGUCGAACGGAAAGGCCCUGCUUUUGUGGGGUGCUCGAGUGGCGAACGGGUGAGUAACACGUGAGUAACCUGCCCUUGACUUUGGGAUAACUUCAGGAAACUGGGGCUAAUACCGGAUAGGAGCUCCUGCUGCAGGGUGGGGGCUGGAAAGUUUCGGCGGUUGGGGAUGGACUCGCGGCUUAUCAGCUUGUUGGUGGGGUAGUGGCUUACCAAGGCUUUGACGGGUAGCCGGCCUGAGAGGGUGACCGGCCACAUUGGGACUGAGAUACGGCCCAGACUCCUACGGGAGGCAGCAGUGGGGAAUAUUGCACAAUGGGCGGAAGCCUGAUGCAGCAACGCCGCGUGCGGGAUGACGGCCUUCGGGUUGUAAACCGCUUUCGCCUGUGACGAAGCGUGAGUGACGGUAAUGGGUAAAGAAGCACCGGCUAACUACGUG